RNAcentral lists this ribosomal RNA (227 nucleotides) under uncultured bacterium. RNAcentral describes it as "partial 16S ribosomal RNA". It matches the Rfam family "Bacterial small subunit ribosomal RNA", at positions 118 to 346 of the family's 1533-position model. The record is from RNAcentral.
UGAGCAAUCUGCCCUUCACAUCGGAAUAACCAUUGGAAACGAUGGCUAAUACCGAAUAUGACUUCGGAUCGCAUGAUCUGAAGUGGAAAGCUCCGGCGGUGAAGGAUGAGCUCGCGGCCUAUCAGCUUGUUGGUAAGGUAAUGGCUUACCAAGGCGACGACGGGUAGCCGGCCUGAGAGGGUGACCGGCCACACUGGGACUGAGACACGGCCCAGACCUCUACGGGA